This 73-nucleotide transfer RNA is filed under the name Deltaproteobacteria bacterium. Its description in RNAcentral is "tRNA-Arg". It matches the Rfam family "tRNA". From Rfam's summary of the family: Transfer RNA (tRNA) molecules are approximately 80 nucleotides in length. Their secondary structure includes four short double-helical elements and three loops (D, anti-codon, and T loops). Further hydrogen bonds mediate the characteristic L-shaped molecular structure. tRNAs have two regions of fundamental functional importance: the anti-codon, which is responsible for specific mRNA codon recognition, and the 3' end, to which the tRNAs corresponding amino acid is attached (by aminoacyl-tRNA synthetases). tRNAs cope with the degeneracy of the genetic code in two manners: having more than one tRNA (with a specific anti-codon) for a particular amino acid; and 'wobble' base-pairing, i.e. permitting non-standard base-pairing at the 3rd anti-codon position. The record is from RNAcentral. Lineage: Bacteria; Pseudomonadati; Myxococcota; Myxococcia.
GCGCCCGAAGUUCAAGUGGAUGAACGCCCGACUACGGAUCGGGAGGGUGGGGGUUCGAGUCCCUCCGGGCGUG